RNAcentral lists this long non-coding RNA (4239 nucleotides) under Homo sapiens (human). RNAcentral describes it as "HSALNT0339992". Lineage: Eukaryota; Metazoa; Chordata; Mammalia; Primates; Hominidae. The record is from RNAcentral.
AAGCUAGCUGCAAGCAGGGACCAGAUUAGUGGAUAUCCUCUUUAAGGGUGAAGUCUUUCCAAUUGCUGUCAACUUUGGCAGGAGUCAGAGGGACUCUUCUUGGGUCACUAACAAUAGACUGUCUGCCCAGCACCAGAGAGCACUGAUAGUCCCCUGACGGCCAUUGUCCCUUGCCCAGCUCACCCACUGGCCUCCCAAGGAAGCACUGUUCAUUGUCUGCCAGACUACAAUGGUGACUUUCUCCUGAGAUAGACCUCCUUGAAGGGACAUGAUCUGGAUGCCAGGUUAAUAACACUGAAAAAUUCACCAUUUCUUUGGUAUUAUAGAUAUAAUUGAUAUAUAGAAAUAAAUAUAUAUUUUAGGCACAAAGGCAUGUAGGAUAUCUAACACAUAUAUAAAUAAUACAUGUAUAUGUCUAAUACACAUACCACAUAUAUGUGUGUACGUAUAUCCAUAUGUGUGUAUAUAUUUAUGUGUGUAUAUGUAUACAUUUGUAUUAUACAUUUUUUCCCUCUCUUUCAAGAUCACCAUGGAUAGUGAGGACAGCCACACAUUUUUGAGUAUUUCCUAUGUUAGUGCUUAAGACAGUACUUCCUAUCUCUAAGGAUUUGAAAUUUAUUUGGAGAGACCAGACAUGUACAGACUGAGAUAAAUAAUGAAUAAUAAUAGGGACCACAGAGGCAGAUUUAUUGUGAAGCUAAUGAAGCUCCAGCCCCAGGGCCCCUGACUUGUACAACGCAUUCCUUGCCGUUUUUGAAUAUAUUGCCAGGGCCCACCCAGCACUUUCCAGGGCCCUGGAGGAGCCCUAGCAGUAUACGUAGCUGGGCCUUCAUGGGAUCAUAACUGGUAAAAUUGGAAGAAGAUUUUAAGCAAUCCUUUAAUGUUUUUCUUUCUCAUUCUGACUUCCCUGCUGUCACAUUUCUGUUUGGGUUUGAUGACAUUGGACUUGAAAGUGCUUUUGAGAUAUAGCUAGGGGGAAGUCGAAUUGGGUCCACAUUUUGUUUGGGUUUAGUGGGAUGUAUUUAUGCAGUUCACAGUCAUCUCUGUGUCAAGUUAUCCCUAGCCAUCCUAGUGUAGAAGUUGCUUCAUAGGAUCGCCACCCACCGUGCCAGCUUACCUGGGGUCCUUACACAAAGGGGAGGGUCAGAGAGAGAAUUGCAGUGUUAACGGGUACCAUGACAUCUGCUGUGGGAUGGUUUAUGGUGCGUGGAGCCAGGUCUGUGGAGAAUUCUUUCACUUGUUAGAUGUGUAAAAUUCUACGUGGAGGAUUCAGUUCUUAUCUAAGUGUAGUCAGUAUGAAAAUUCUCUUCUUUUAGGAAUAUACUCAAUAAUACAAAUAUACUAUUAGAAAUGCACCAUUUUUAAUGGGAAUUCUGUGUUUAAGAUUCUUGUUCAUUUGACAUGAAUAUGCCUGAUACCAAAAAUACUGACAACAAACUGGUUAAUGAGUAUCAUUGAUAAAAAGAAUAUUUAAAGUUAGUCAUUGCACGAGAAAACUUGAAAUGUCCUGGAUUUUUAUGGCUCAUAUGUGAAAGAAAAUUAAGAGAUGUGAUUACAGGUUUGACAACAAUCCUAAAAAUGUAUAUGUCAUUGCCAAUAAAGAACUAUAAGGCUAAAAGUAACUUUUCUGAAUUGUCAAUAAUUAGGAAUAAAUUUUGAUCACCCAUGCUUGAGGGGAGAUUGAUUCAUCUUUCUGCCCUGUGGAAAAUGAUAUGAAUAUAAGUCAUUGUGAUAUGAGGAUUCAUCAGAGUAUACAGCCCAAAAGAAGUAUUUAUAGCAGUGUGUCAGGAAGUUAAUUAAUACACAUACUGGGUUCUUUUCCUGGAUUCUGAUUUUAGGAUGUUUUGGUAUUGCGGCUUGUAAAAUUUUGUGAUUUGUUGUGAUUUCUUAAUCUCAAUAGAUAAUCACUUUUGUAAACAUUUUAUAACAUUCAAUUUUUUUUCAUAAGAAAAGUCUGAAUCUGCAGGCCCACAAAACUUGGGUCUAUUCCUUGAGCUCCCAAUUCGGGAAUCAUUACUAUAUGUGCCACAGACAGUGCUAAAUAAUUUUUGUAUAGUAUUUCAUUGGCCCUCACAGCAAGCCUGUGAAGUAGACAUUACCCCCAUCCUGUAAGUACUGCCUUCCGCUUUGGAGUUAAAUAUGCUACCAUAUUAGUUAAAUAACACACUUAGUGAAAUAUGAACUAGAGUGUUUGUUUAUAUUGGUAUAAAACAGAAAUAUUUUUCUUCAGGACAGAAAGCCUCUUUUACCUCAAUAAAUAUCAUUAUUUUAAUGGGUCUUCCCCUCUCUGUCCUGUAGCCCCUGCCCACAGCUGCACCAGCGGGGGUGUGCUCUGAACUGUGUGGUCACCUCCUGUGCACUGUUUCCUCCCCCAGAAACUCAGGGUCUUGUCAUCAUCCUAUCCUCGUCCCCAAGACGUGUUUUCAGAAAUGGUAUGAAAAUAAAAAUUGAGAAGUACUUUGGGCUGUGAAAAAAAUAAAUUACAAAGGUAACUUUGGACAGUGAAAAACAUCUUUGAAAUUAAUUUCUGUAGGUUUGCAUCAAUGAGGGCUGUAUAUUUAUAUGUUUAUGUGUUUAUGGCAUUCACACAAAUAUCCAUUAUGCAAUUAGUCCAGUAUGGUUUAUAUUAAGGGAAUCUGAAAGAGACUCUUUUUAAAGCUGAUUUAAAAAGGAAAUUGAUUUUCCUUGUUAAAUUGCCAGGGGUAUUUGGUACACAGGAGGCAGAGGCCUGGGUGGUGAGAAGCAUGGACUGUGAAGCUAUACAGAAUUGGAUUUUGAAUCCUCCUGAUCUCACUAACUUGAGCUUUUCAAACUUGGGCAGCUCUUACAGUCUUAUUUAUAUGAGAUAGUAAUACUAUUAUUUAUUAUUUGGGGGGAUCCCGAGAUUGAUUUUCCUUUCACAGUACCUACUGGCUAGUUGCUUUAAUAUGCAUUAUGCAGUGUUAGUCCCAUGCGACGCAGGAGGAAGCCAGGACACAGAGCAAAGAACAGCCAGGAAAAUGCCCGGGGUAGCCAGGGCCGGCUUUGCUGCCAGGUGUGCCCAUAUACUCAGUGCUUGCUCUUUACAGCCUAAGUUGUGAUCUUUUACAAGAUGUUUGCAUUUUCAUUGAAGGCUCUUCCGCACCUGAAAGUCUUGGAGAAAUAAAUACAGAAAGGCUGGAUUUCCACCAAGAGCAGUGUCGAUGGGAGCAGUAUGGAUGGUUGAUGACAUAUUUUGAUGCCGGUUGUCUGGUUGAGGUAGAAAUGUUUCUGAAUGUGUCAAGGCUUCUGAAGAAAACACUUAGGUAGGACAGGAGGGUGCAUGAGCAUCCCAUCACAGUAACAACAAUGAAAACAAUAAUUUGGCAGUUCUAAAAUGGUUGUAAUUACUGAAUUGUCCAAAGACGCUAACUGGUUUUCUCUCUCUCGCUGAUGAUCAUUUAGGGAUAGGUUCUCCUGACAAACACAAUACCUAACCCUCUACACAUACACACACAUACACACAUACACACACACACACACACACACACACACACACACACACACACACACACACACACACAUAUCAACUUCUCUUUUACUUCAGAUUUCCAAAAUUAAAAUCAUGUAAUUAUGUUCAGGAGGCUGGGGUGGAGGUUUUACUGUGAAGCGGUUAUGCAUGACCCUGGAAUCCCACAGGCUACGUGACCUUGGCCAACUUAUUUAAUUCCUGUAGCCCUCAGCUUCUGUGCAAUGAGCAUGGGAAUAGUAUUUAUCUCCCAGUGUUGUUAUGAGGAUUAAGUAGAAACAUGACUAUGAAGGGCCUGGAGAUCAGGAAGCCCCCACACAUGUUAUAACACUGAUAGGAUUUACCUUUUUUUUGCAUCCAUGGUGAUGCUCCCUAUGCCACAUACUCCUCAAAGUCUCCUGUCCUCUUCAUAUUUCCAUAAUAUGAUGGGAGAAAAACAAUCAAAAUAACCAUAUACAUUUCUGCUUUUUGUUAAAUAUUUUACCUUGGAGAUAUUAGGUGAAAUUUGAUUUCCCUGGUAGAGUUUUGGUUUGUGUUUGUGUAAGUCAUACUGAGUGGUCGUAGGAAUUCAUGAGCUGUUAAAACAUUCCACACACAAAUUCUUGCUGUUUGAAAAUAUAGCAGCCUUAAUUUAGUAUUGUUUAUCCAGAUUUAAGUUUUUGAGACAUUAGAUCAUGUGAUUAGAAAAAUACUUCCAUGUUUGAUAAAUAUAGUUUUCUCUUUCGGAAAGAAGGCAUUUCAAGAGUCUAGAG